This 318-nucleotide unclassified non-coding RNA is filed under the name Hevea brasiliensis (rubber tree). Lineage: Eukaryota; Viridiplantae; Streptophyta; Magnoliopsida; Malpighiales; Euphorbiaceae. The record is from RNAcentral.
UUCCAAUUUUACUUUUUAUUUUUACUAAAUAUAAUAAAUAUUUAACAUAAUUAAAUAAGUAGAUGAGAUAAAAGGUAAUUAAAAAUGAAGUUAUCAAAUCGUGCGAACUCAAAUGCCACAUAAUUUAAUUUUUAAUGGAGCACUAUGAGUAGAGGUCAUAUUAAGUAAAGACUAAAUAAAUCUUAUUACUUUAAUUAUAUUAACUUUAUUUUCUUAAUUUAUGUGAAAAAAGAAGUAAUUCCAUCUUUGUUGGACGGAGAUAGUAGUUGAUUAUUCUGCAAAGUUACUACUAUAUUAUUGUCACGACCCAACCUAUGG